ACCUGGGUGGCUCAGUCGGUUGAGUGUCCGACUUUGGCUCAGAUCAUGAUCUCAUGGUUUGUGGGUUCGAGCCCCACAUCAGGCU
This 85-nucleotide transfer RNA is filed under the name Felis catus (domestic cat). It matches the Rfam family "tRNA". Rfam says of the family: Transfer RNA (tRNA) molecules are approximately 80 nucleotides in length. Their secondary structure includes four short double-helical elements and three loops (D, anti-codon, and T loops). RNAcentral also lists the same sequence under 3 other names. The record is from Rfam by way of RNAcentral. Lineage: Eukaryota; Metazoa; Chordata; Mammalia; Carnivora; Felidae.